CAGGCUGUUUCCCUGGCAGUGGCACUUUGUGGCCAUGGACUCCCCAGCUGCAUGCAAGAGCAACAUGAGACACAUUGGCAGCUUCAGGCAGCACAAUAGCUGCAGCUGCCACUCACCUUUCCUAUGAUG
This is a small nucleolar RNA of Sciurus vulgaris (Eurasian red squirrel), 129 nucleotides long. NCBI's taxonomy places the organism in Eukaryota, Metazoa, Chordata, Mammalia, Rodentia, Sciuridae. The record is from Ensembl.